This is a non-coding RNA of Chiloscyllium plagiosum (whitespotted bambooshark), 973 nucleotides long. The record is from RefSeq and is a predicted model, not a curated record. Lineage: Eukaryota; Metazoa; Chordata; Chondrichthyes; Orectolobiformes; Hemiscylliidae.
CUGAGUGCUUCCUCAAUAGAGAGAGCCCAACAAUGCUUACCUGCUGUAGAGGUAGCACUAGCGAAUGAAGGGGGAUCACAGCCUGAACAUAUCUCUGCUGAUUCAGGAAAAAUUCUCACAUUUGACACUUCUCAUUUUACAAGCCACAGAAGGCAAACAUGGAAAAAGGAUCAAGAGGGUGAAAUGGUUCCUCUGUGGGAAAAUUCUCCUUCUUAGCCAGGCUGAAGGGAUCGAGCUGUAUUUGUGGUUUAGGUUUUUUUUGUAAGUUCAGCAUUAACACUUCGAGCAUUUGCAGUUAGGCUGCUACUCUCACAGAGAUGCAAAAUCAAAAGUGACUCUCAUCACUGCUCUCAACGAGCCAAUUAUUUGGAGAUUUGAUGACAGCUCCUGUCAAAAGGGAAAACAUGGCUUAGAAGGAAGCCUUAACCAGUCUCUUCAACAAAGAUGAAUUAGAAGUGGUGGAAUGUAAUAGAUUGUCCCUGUGCCUGCAAUAAUAAAUUACCCUCACUCUGAGCAGGAAAUGGGCUCAAUCUUUAUCAUUGCCCAGCUCAGAAAUGAAAGGAUGAAGAAUAAAUUAACAGUGGAAAGUGAGGGAGCAUCAGCAGAAGAUUCACAACAUCACCUGGACACUAGAGGUCCAUUGGACUUCAGAUGCUACCAGACCUGCUGAGUUUCUCCUGCAAUUUCUGUUUUCGUUUCAGAUAAAGAAAUAAGACUGAGUUAUCAAGAUGUCAAGAGCUGGAUUACACAUUCACUACAGUUUGGGCAAUUUGUUCUAGCCUCAAAAUUGAAGUAAAUCUGCUUUCACCAGGUUGGGAAUGAAUAUGAAUCCCAGAGGAAUCCUCAAGGAAAAUGAGAAUUAUUAUUCCUCAUUAGGAAGAGAUUUCUCAAACCCAUUGGUGGUGAUUGGCUUGAGCAUUUGAAAAGUAUAUGUACCCAGAAUGAGUUUAAUCUUUUAAGUCUGUUUAAUUAA